CUGAGCAUCAGGCUGGGGACAAUGUCCUGGUGUGUCCCCAAGGUCACCUGAACACAGGGUUGGGGACAACGUCCUGGUGUGUCCCCUUUCCUAAGCAUCAGCCUGGGGACAAUGUCCUGGUGUGUCCCCAAAGGGGGAUUCUUCUCCCAAUCUCUGGGUUGGGGACAUCAUCCCAGUGUUGUCCCCAUGGGUGGGGACCUCUUCCGAGCGCUGGGUUGGGGACAUCGUCCCAGUGUGUCCCCUUUCUUGAGCAUCAGGCUGGGGACAAUGUCCUGGUGUGUCCCCAUGGGGGGGGAUUCUUCUCCCAAUCUCUGGGUUGGGGACAUCGUCCUGGUGUGUCCCCUUUCCUGAGCAUCAGCCUGGGGACAAUGUCCUGGUGUGUCCCCAAGGGGGGUUUCCUCACCUAAACAGUAGGUUGGGGACAUCAUCCUGGUGUGUCCCCUUUCCGGACCGUCAGGCUGGGGACAAUGUCCUGGUGUGUCCCCAAGGGGGGUUUCCUCACCUAAACAGUAGGUUGGGGACAUCAUCCUGGUGUGUCCCCUUUCCGGACCGUCAGGCUGGGGACAAUGUCCUGGUGUGUCCCCAAGGUCACCUAACACUGGGCUGGGGACAACGUCCUGGUGUGUCCCCAGGGGUGGAUCCCUCUCCCAAGCACAGGGUUGGGGACAUUGUCCCACCGUGUCCCCUUUCCUGAGCGUCAGGCUGGGGACAACGUCCUGGUUUGUCCCCAAGGUCACCUGAACACUGGGUUGGGGACAACGUCCUGGUGUGUCCCCGUGCGGUGUGAUUCUUCUCCCAAUCUCUGGGUUGGGGACAUUGUCCUGGUGUUGUCCCCACGAGUGGAUCCCUCUCCCGAG
Long non-coding RNA from Calidris pugnax (ruff), 857 nucleotides. RefSeq lists it as uncharacterized. The transcript is spliced from 3 exons. The record is from RefSeq and is a predicted model, not a curated record. NCBI's taxonomy places the organism in Eukaryota, Metazoa, Chordata, Aves, Charadriiformes, Scolopacidae.